CUGAUUCCACAAAAGAAGAAACAUAUGUAUGGACAGUAGAGGCCCAGGAAGAUGAUUGAAGUAAUGGAUAAGCUGCCCUGGGGGGAAAGACUGAAGUAACUAAGUCUGAAGAAGAGAAGUUUCAGUAGGAUCUUCAUCAAAAUAUUCCAAUUGCACUGAGUUCGUGGGCUGACAAAUCCUUCCAAACUCUCCCUGGAUCCCUGCAGGACCUGUCUGCGAGUCUGUUGCAAGCUGACCUUAAAUCCAUGCAUCUGCCUCUCUGUUCCUGAAAAAGGAGAGGCUUGUUGAGGACCAGGGAUAGGCAGCAGAACUUACCACUUUAACACCUGCAUUUUUAGUGAGAAAAUUUCUGGAAUCAGGAACUGAAGUGAGAUGCACCUAUGUUGUAUAUAUCCUGAUGUUAUAUGCAUCUGUACCAUGUACACAUCUGGGAAGGAACAUCUGAAGAGAUCAGAGGUGUACAGUCAGCUGCAGAAAGGAUUAUGUAAAGGAUGAACAAAGAGAUUUUGAUUUACCCAAGAUUAGAAGAAGUGACUGCUAAAUCCAACAUCAUCUGGAAGUGACUAUAUCCUGAGACAACAUCCAAUCAACAGUAAUCAAUCCUUUCAAUUGUGUAAUAAAGUCUUGAGAAGAUGAAGCUUUGCCACUGAAAUGUGACAUUGUUUUUCAUUAAAUAAUGAAGCAAUUAUUGUUGUAGUAAACUAAUGUCAAACAGCAGUGAGUAAGGACAAUCCUUCAUCUCUAAGUGUCUCAUAUUAGUUCAUUUUGUUAAAGUACUUUAAACACUGGGCAAAAGUAUGCAGAAAAAAAAGAUGGAAAUGAAAAUAUUGCAAUGGAUUCACUUUACAAUGAGAAAAAUAUUUACUUAUUGAUUUGUUUGCAUUUAUUCUUUCAUGAAUAAUGAAAUAGUUAUGAAAUACCUGUCUUCUGUUGUUUUAAAUGCAUCUCUGAAAAGCAGAUAUCACACUGAGGUACAAGAAGGAAUCAAAAAAGUAAAAAACUCUUGAAGUUCUGUAGCAAUAGAUACAAUUUAUCACUCAGGCCUUUAUCUGUCCAUCUUCACCUUUUAAUCCCUACUGCGUCUCAGCUGUUAAUGAAAUAACCUCACAAUAUCCAGUGUUCAUUGCCGAUGUCUACGUUUGCAUCGUUUUUGUUUAUUUUUUUGCAUAGUGGCUUUGAAAUCCUGAGUGAGUGUAUAAAUGAGUUAUCUUUCUUCUUUCCCUUACCCUCUCAUGAGCUUCUUUCUCUGAAGUACGAUGCCUACUUAUGUAUUAAAUAUUCACCACAGUUACAGGACUUGAAUCAAUCUCCUGAAUCAGCUAGUAAAAACACAACAAUGGAAACCUUGAAGCAGAGACUAAAAGGUAACUAAACAUUCCUCCUUGUAUGGUCUUUCUGCUGAGAUAUCAAAUAUGAAAGGUCUUCUAUUAAAAAUACUUUUUUAGCAAAUUACAUUUUUAAAUAUAAAUUCAGAAAUUAUGUCCAGUAACGUACUAAUUAUUGAUAAGGAGGAAGGCAUCUUAUUUAGCAUUUGUGAUGUUUGGUAUUAUGGAGGAAAUUAACAACAGAACAUUUUCUGAAGAAGUUAAUGCUUCUUUAUUUUAUUAAAAUAUAUACUCAUGUAUAUUAAUAAAUAUUGUAUAGCAACAUAGACAAUUACAUAAUAUGCUGAAUUAAAUAUAGAUUUUCUAAGACAAUACUGACUGAAAAUAGACCUAAAGCUUUAUAAGGUCAGAUUACAAACAACACUAUGAUAGAAUGUGAGACAAAACUUCCAAUCAACUAAAAUUUCAAUACUAAUGAAGUUUACCAUUAAGAAUUUGAGACAUUUUAUACAGCAUUUAAUUGGUGAAUGUGAAACAUCUGGUGUGAAGAAAAUGAAGAAAAUAAGAACUAUGCUUGACUUCUAGUGACUGAAAACAGAAAGAAACUUUGACAAAAUAAUCAGAUAAGAAUGAUAUUAAAUGGCGAACACUAUAACUACUUAUAUAUCUUUCUUUCCACAUCAUUCUUUUUAGUUACCAUUUUAUGAGCAAAACAAAAGACACUUUUGGGUUCUUAUGUCUAAUAUGAUUCUUUGUGAUAAAUGUUUGAAAGUGACAAAGACCUACAAUUUACUUCAUUUCGUAUCUGCUGUGUAAAAUGGGAUGUAAAUAUACAGUGGUUAUGAUUAAAUGGUAAUGUAAAAUAUAUUAAGAAAGAGAGAGGAUUUAGGUUAUAUGUUGUUUUUAUAUU
Molecule: long non-coding RNA, 2235 nt
Organism: Passer domesticus (house sparrow)
Lineage: Eukaryota; Metazoa; Chordata; Aves; Passeriformes; Passeridae
Exons: 5
Source: RefSeq, a predicted model, not a curated record